UACGUAGGGUGCGAGCGUUGUCCGGAAUUAUUGGGCGUAAAGAGCCCAUAGGCGGUGUGUCACGUCGAUCGUGAAAACUUACAGCUUAACUGUGAGCGUGCGGUCGAUACGGGCAUCACUGGAGUUCGGCAGGGGAGACUGGAAUUCCCGGUGUAGCGGUGAAAUGCGCAGAUAUCAGGAGGAACACCGGUGGCGAAGGCGGGUCUCUGGGCCGAUACUGACGCUGAGGAGCGAAAGCGUGGGGAGCGAACAGG
RNAcentral lists this ribosomal RNA (254 nucleotides) under uncultured bacterium. Its description in RNAcentral is "partial 16S ribosomal RNA". It matches the Rfam family "Bacterial small subunit ribosomal RNA", at positions 524 to 776 of the family's 1533-position model. The record is from RNAcentral.